RNAcentral lists this transfer RNA (75 nucleotides) under Ziphius cavirostris (Cuvier's beaked whale). RNAcentral describes it as "tRNA-Leu". It matches the Rfam family "tRNA". Rfam says of the family: Transfer RNA (tRNA) molecules are approximately 80 nucleotides in length. Lineage: Eukaryota; Metazoa; Chordata; Mammalia; Artiodactyla; Ziphiidae. The record is from RNAcentral.
GUUGGGGUGGCAGAGUCCGGCAAUUGUAUAAAACUUAAACNUUUACACUCAGAGGUUCAAAUCCUCUCCCCAACA